Molecule: ribosomal RNA, 704 nt
Filed under: Actinomycetes bacterium
Lineage: Bacteria; Bacillati; Actinomycetota; Actinomycetes
Description: bacterial SSU rRNA
Rfam family: Bacterial small subunit ribosomal RNA
Source: RNAcentral
GAUGCCCAGCUUGCUGGGUUGAUUAGUGGCGAACGGGUGAGUAAUACGUGAGUAACCUGCCCUUGACUCUGGGAUAAGCCUGGGAAACUGGGUCUAAUACUGGAUACUACCUCCUGCCGCAUGGUGGGUGGUGGAAAGGGUUUUACUGGUUUUGGAUGGGCUCACGGCCUAUCAGCUUGUUGGUGGGGUAAUGGCUCACCAAGGCGACGACGGGUAGCCGGCCUGAGAGGGUGACCGGCCACACUGGGACUGAGACACGGCCCAGACUCCUACGGGAGGCAGCAGUGGGGAAUAUUGCACAAUGGGCGGAAGCCUGAUGCAGCGACGCCGCGUGAGGGAUGACGGCCUUCGGGUUGUAAACCUCUUUCAGUAGGGAAGAAGCGAGAGUGACGGUACCUGCAGAAGAAGCGCCGGCUAACUACGUGCCAGCAGCCGCGGUAAUACGUAGGGCGCAAGCGUUGUCCGGAAUUAUUGGGCGUAAAGAGCUCGUAGGCGGUUUGUCGCGUCUGCUGUGAAAGCCCGGGGCUCAACCCCGGGUCUGCAGUGGGUACGGGCAGACUAGAGUGCAGUAGGGGAGACUGGAAUUCCUGGUGUAGCGGUGAAAUGCGCAGAUAUCAGGAGGAACACCGAUGGCGAAGGCAGGUCUCUGGGCUGUUACUGACGCUGAGGAGCGAAAGCAUGGGGAGCGAACAGGAUUAGAUACC